Long non-coding RNA from Symphalangus syndactylus (siamang), 3291 nucleotides. RefSeq lists it as uncharacterized. The record is from RefSeq and is a predicted model, not a curated record. NCBI's taxonomy places the organism in Eukaryota, Metazoa, Chordata, Mammalia, Primates, Hylobatidae.
UGGCCCGUCGGAUCUCAGGCCCGAUGUCAUGCAGCGUGCGCAAGCCAGCCUGGAAUCCAAGGGGAGGAUGAUUGAGUUUUUGUGCCAGGUGGCUUGGCUGCAUCCCUGCUGAGCUGGAUACCCAAGAUUAUAUGUGACAUCAUCAGUGCCUGUCCUGGGAGUGAACCUGAUGGUGGAGAAGCCAUAAGUUCCUAGAGGAAACAUUUCAUGCCUGGAAUACAACUGCUGUGUAAAUUGAUGAAAACUAUACUUUGGAUUAUUUAAACUUGGCCGAGAGAGGUUUGCAUUUUGGAAAACUGUAUUCCUGAUGGCGAUGCUCUUUGUGGUGUGUGGGUCACUCACCGUUCCCUGCAGGGCGGAAAGGAUCCUCAGCCCCUUGGUGGGCCUCUGAUGGGCUGGGUCCCUCUGCGUAAGGUAGGAAGCCACAGAUGGUGGCAUCUGCCCCACGCAACCCUGACUCAUCAGUUUCUUGCUUGCUUGCUUCACUUCUCCCCAGUCUUCCCAUUUUCCACCUCCUUCCUCUUCCCCUUCCUCUCUCCACCUUCCUUCCUUCCCCCUUCCCUCUCGUGCCCCCUCCAAUGCCAUUCCUCUCCCCUUCCCCCUGCCUGUGGCUCAGGCCAGCCAGGGGGCCCCUCCACUGGCACUCAGUGCUCUUCCUUGUGGACUGAGCCCAGCCCCUGGGCAGGAACAAUGGCGGCCACGCACUCACCAGCUGGAACACGUAUGGCCCUGCCACAGGCAGUGGGGGGCUGGUCCCCAUGGGUGGCAUUUCUCAUGGACCUCCUUGGGCAGCCACAGGGAACAUGGAUGAUUGGAGGGUACAUCUGUCAAUGAGGGCUCUGUCCCGAGUUCCCCCGCUUAGAUCCUGCCCUAUGCAGCCUCUGGGGUCCUAGCCUUACAGUGGUGAAAAAGGAAAGCUGAGCCUUACAGCUGUAAGGGCAGAUGUGGGGGGCAGGAUUCUAAGAUGCUCCUCACCAGGGUACACAUGCUGCCAAAGCCCUGGGCCCCUGACCGUCAUAGAUUUUACUCCUGAGAUUAGGUUAUAUGGCACACGGCACCUAUGACCUAAGACAGGGAGGUUAGGCAGGCCUGACCUAGUCACAUGAGCCCUUUCAAGGCAGAGUUCUCUCCAGCUGGCCUGGAAGAACGCAAACAGCCAUGUGGGCUGAACUGAGAGAGGCAGCCUCUAGGAGCUGAGGGGGUCCCCAGCUGUCAGCCAGCAGGAAAGCGAGGACCUCAGGCCUACAAUUGCAACAGAUGAAUUCCACCAACAAACAACGUGAUCUCCUCCAAAGCCUCCGGAAAAGACCAUGGCCUGAUCCAUCUCCUGGAUUUACCUUAUGAGAGCCCAGCUUCACCACUGCUGGACUUCCGACCUGCAAAACCAUGAGCUACUAACGGGGUGUCUUUUUUUUUUUUUUUUUUUAGACGGAAGUUUGCUCUUGUUGCCCAGGCUGGAGUGCAGUGGCGCGAUCUCGGCUCACUGCAACCUCUGCCUCCUGGGUUCAAGUGAUUCUCCUGCCUCAGCCUCCUGAGUAGCUGGGAUUACAGGCAUGUGCCACCAUGCCCAGCUAAUUUUAUAUUUUUAGUAGAGAUGGGCUUUCGCCAUUUUGGUCAGGCUGGUCUCAAACUCCCGACCUCAGGUGAUCGGCCUGCCUCAGCCUCCCAAAGUGCUGGGAUUACCUGUGUGAGCCACCAUGCCCAGCCAGCGGGGUGUCUUUUUAAGCUGAAAAGCUUGUAGUAAUUUGCUUUGCAGCAGUAGGAAACCAACACGGGAUGUUUACUGCUCUCGCAUAGGACCGGCAGUCCAGUAUUGUGGUUGAGGGCUCUUGUGUCAGACUGCCUGGGUUCAAAUCCACCUCUGGGGCCACAGGGCAGAGUAUGCAGAGGUGGCAGUAGAGGGAUUGACGGAAUCUCGAGCUCCCUGAAUGCCAGAUCCAAAUAGGACCUGAAGGCAGGGGAUGACUCCCGAGCCCUCCAGCUGUGCAGGCGAUCAAUCCCCUUCACGGGAGAGGUAGCUGGAGGUUUCUGACACACGCAGUGCAAGAUCCUGACACACACGGAAUCCAAAUAUACUUAGCUUCGGUACUGGGCCGAAUAGUGUCCUCCCAAAAUUCAUGUCUGCCUAGAACCUCAGAAUGUGGCCUUAGUUGGAAAUAGGAUUUUCACCCAUGUAAUUAGUUAAGAUGAAGUCAUCCUGGAUGAGGGUGGGCCCUACCUGGAUGAGGGUGGGCCCUACAUCCAAUGUGGCUGGUGUCCUUACAAGAGGAGAAGACACAAGACCGUGGAGGCUACGUGAAGAUGGAGGCACAGAUGGCGUGAUGCCGCUGUGAGCCAGUGCACACCAGGCAUCGUCCACAGCCCUCAGAAGCUGGGAGAAAGGGUGGAACAGAUUCUCCCCAGAGCCUCCAGAAAGAACCAACCCUGCUGACACCUUAGUUUUAGGCCUCUGGCCUCCUAAACUGACAGAACUUUCUCUUGUUUCAAGCUGCCCAGUUUGUGAUCAUUUGUUACAGCAGACCUAAGAAAUUAACAUAGCUUCCAAAAGGACCUUUCAUUUUUUUAUCAGCCUUAAUGUAUUAUCAUGAUGGUCUGUGUAAUUGUGGAAGUUCGCCAAUUGUUUCAUGUCAUCUAAGUAUUUUUCAUCUCUUCCUUCUAUGUUCCAAGAGAGAAGCUUGUUUGGCUGGUGCUGGACUUGGGCUGAGCUCUUCCUUCUGUGUUCCAAGAGAGAAGCUUGUUUGGCUUGGUACUGGACUUGGGCUGAGAGCUCUGCUUCUCUGAGGGCCGUCCUGACCAGGGCAAACAGGGUGGCAUUGAACAUGACUGUACCGUCGCUGUUCAGAGGCAUGUUCAUGGAGACCAGGCGCUGCAGGGGAAGAGAAGCGAAGCUGGUGAUGAUGGCAGACGGUGCUUAGGGGACCACAGAACACCGUGGCAGAGUGAUAUGGUUUGGAUCUGUGUCCCCGCCCAAAUCUCAAGUUGAAUUGUAAUCCCCAGAAUUGGAGGUGGGGCCUGAUGGAAGGUGAUUGCAUCAUGGGGUGGAUUUCUCAUAAAUGGUUGGGUACCAUCCCCUUGGUGAGUGAGUUCUCAUGAGAUCUGCUUGUUUAAGUGUGUGGUCCCUCCCCCUUCUCUCUUACUCCCUGUCUCUCCAUGUGAUGCACCUGCCUCCCCUUUGCCUUCCACCAUGAUUGGAAGCUUCUGGAGGCCUCCCCAGAAGCAGAAUGCUAGUGCCAUGCUUCCUGUACAGCCUGCUGAACUGUGGGCCAAUUAAACCUGUUUUCUUAUAAAUUA